GACGAACGCUGGCGGCGUGCUUAACACAUGCAAGUCGAACGGUGAUGCUCCAGCUUGCUGGAGUGGAUCAGUGGCGAACGGGUGAGUAACACGUGAGCAACCUGCCCCAGACUCUGGAAUAAGCGCUGGAAACGGCGUCUAAUACUGGAUACGAAACUGGCCCGCAUGGGCAUGGUUUGGAAAGUUUUUCGGUUUGGGAUGGGCUCGCGGCCUAUCAGCUUGUUGGUGAGGUAAUGGCUCACCAAGGCGACGACGGGUAGCCGGCCUGAGAGGGCGACCGGCCACACUGGGACUGAGACACGGCCCAGACUCCUACGGGAGGCAGCAGUGGGGAAUAUUGCACAAUGGGCGAAAGCCUGAUGCAGCGACGCCGCGUGAGGGAUGACGGCCUUCGGGUUGUAAACCUCUUUCAGCAGGGAAGAAGCGAAAGUGACGGUACCUGCAGAAGAAGCGCCGGCUAACUACGUG
This 468-nucleotide ribosomal RNA is filed under the name uncultured bacterium. RNAcentral describes it as "partial 16S ribosomal RNA". It matches the Rfam family "Bacterial small subunit ribosomal RNA", at positions 28 to 507 of the family's 1533-position model. The record is from RNAcentral.